Planktothrix agardhii NIVA-CYA 126/8 is the source of this 290-nucleotide non-coding RNA. It matches the Rfam family "HNH endonuclease-associated RNA and ORF (HEARO) RNA". Lineage: Bacteria; Bacillati; Cyanobacteriota; Cyanophyceae; Oscillatoriales; Microcoleaceae. The record is from Rfam.
GUCAGCACCCCGCACUCUCUGUGACGGGGCCAUGCGCGGAGCGCAGGCUACGCGACUGGUGCCCCUAACUUCAGUUAGUUGACCAGCCUAAGUCUUAACUGACUACGUUUUUUGAGUUAUGACACCCUGUUGGAUGCGAUAGCGAAGCGUGGCGUCAUCCAUAGCUAGUCCCUGGCUCUGUCCUUAGUAGUUAAACAGUUUUACGAGGGGUAAGACAGUGCUACUAGCCUAACAAGCUCUUAAAACUUUGGCGUUCGCGUAGCGUGUGCGAAGCACUAAGCUAACUUUAC